Acanthosepion pharaonis is the source of this 87-nucleotide non-coding RNA. NCBI's taxonomy places the organism in Eukaryota, Metazoa, Mollusca, Cephalopoda, Sepiida, Sepiidae. The record is from the annotation of a GenBank genome assembly.
AGUUCUCGUCGAUCACCGAAGUUAAGCAACGUCGAGCCUGGUCAAUACCUAGGUGGUUGACCACUUGGGAAUACCAGGUGUUGUAAG